Molecule: ribosomal RNA, 466 nt
Filed under: uncultured bacterium
Lineage: Bacteria
Description: partial 16S ribosomal RNA
Rfam family: Bacterial small subunit ribosomal RNA
Source: RNAcentral
GACGAACGCUGGCGGCGCGCCUAACACAUGCAAGUCGAACGAGCGGGAGGGAGCUUGCUUUCUCGAGCGAGUGGCGAACGGGUGAGUAACGUGGGAGGAACCUGCCUCAAAGAGGGGGACAACAGUUGGAAACGACUGCUAAUACCGCAGAAGCUCACGGUGCCGCAUGGCACAGAGGGAAAAGGAGCCAUCCGCUUUGAGAUGGCCUCGCGUCCGAUUAGCUAGUUGGUGAGGUAAUGGCCCACCAAGGCGACGAUCGGUAGCCGGACUGAGAGGUUGAUCGGCCACAUUGGGACUGAGACACGGCCCAGACUCCUACGGGAGGCAGCAGUGGGGAAUAUUGCACAAUGGGGGAAACCCUGAUGCAGCGACGCCGCGUGGAGGAAGAAGGUCUUCGGAUUGUAAACUCCUGUUGUUGGGGAAGAUAAUGACGGUACCCAACAAGGAAGUGACGGCUAACUACGUG